Molecule: unclassified non-coding RNA, 749 nt
Filed under: Octopus sinensis (East Asian common octopus)
Lineage: Eukaryota; Metazoa; Mollusca; Cephalopoda; Octopoda; Octopodidae
Description: uncharacterized LOC118764651, transcript variant X1
Source: RNAcentral
AUUUGGUUUUAAAUUACGUGACUCACUAUGAAUCAUUCUUAUUAACGAUCAUUAUGAUAACUUACACAGUAAGACUGGAAGUAACCUGAUGUAAUACCAUGGCCUUCUGAUAUGGUCACCAGAAACAUUGACUGGACAGGUAAUAUGAACUUCAUCAGCGAAAAGGCUUACACAUUUCGGACGCAGAAGACAUCUUACUCAUUGCCGAAACCACAGAUCAGCUACAGACCAUGCUGACAGAGUUGGACACUCAUAGCUCAGCAAGAAGCCUUCAAAUGAACCGAGUGAAAAUAAAAUACAUUCAGCCUUACAAAGUAUCAGAAGGCCGAAUAGAAGUAGGGAGCAAUUAUAUCGAGGAGGUAAAGGAGUACGUCCACUUAGGACAGACAGUGAGUAUGCAACAAGACAAACAUUUUCAGUAUGAGGUUAUCAUAUGUGUUAAAAAUAUAUCAGCUAAAAAGGCCUUAAAUAGCGCACAUAUUCUUUUCCUUUAUUUUUUUGCAUAAUCGUAUGAAUUCUCGUGUGUAGAACACAAAUUCGCAAACAUUUUUUUUUAAAUUCCAAAAAAUAAAUGAAGAUUCGAUGGUUUAUAUAGCGUCUGUAAAGCAGAAUUUCGCCAAAAUUUCGUUGUUUAUAGUUGACACAUGCUGUCACGCACAAAAUGACAGCUUCCAAAUCCUGUUUUAUGAUUUAAUAAAAAUGAUCAAACUUUAAACCUCAUUUUAAAAAAAUGUUCUCAUAAAAGUGAA